CCUGGCGGCAGUAGCGCGGUGGUCCCACCUGACCCCAUGCCGAACUCAGAAGUGAAACGCCGUAGCGCUGAUGGUAGUGUGGGGUCUCCCCAUGCGAGAGUAGGGAACUGCCAGGC
RNAcentral lists this ribosomal RNA (116 nucleotides) under Escherichia coli. Lineage: Bacteria; Pseudomonadati; Pseudomonadota; Gammaproteobacteria; Enterobacterales; Enterobacteriaceae. The record is from RNAcentral. RNAcentral also lists the same sequence under 4 other names.